AUUGCUUUUUGGCCUUUUGGCUAAGAUCAACUGUAGAAUAUAUACUUAUCAGUUUAAAAUUUGAUACAUCCUUGAUGAGAGGACUUUAUUUGAAAGAGGCAUUGCCCAUGGAAGUUGGACAUGGCACUUGCUCCCUCUGCUCCAUAGUUUGUCCCAGUAUUGCAGUGGCUCUGGGAAGAGUGCACAGGUU
Struthio camelus australis is the source of this 190-nucleotide small nuclear RNA. Its record names the gene U2. It matches the Rfam family "U2 spliceosomal RNA". From Rfam's summary of the family: U2 is a small nuclear RNA (snRNA) component of the spliceosome (involved in pre-mRNA splicing). NCBI's taxonomy places the organism in Eukaryota, Metazoa, Chordata, Aves, Struthioniformes, Struthionidae. The record is from Ensembl.